CUACGGAGGGUGCAAGCGUUACUCGGAAUCACUGGGCGUAAAGCGCGCGCAGGCGGCUAUUUAAGUUGGAUGUGAAAGCCUAUGGCUCAACCAUAGAACUGCAUCCAAAACUAUUUAGCUAGAGUGUGGGAGAGGAAGAUGGAAUUAGUUGUGUAGGGGUAAAAUCCGUAGAGAUAACUAGGAAUACCAAAAGCGAAGGCAAUCUUCUGGAACACUUCUGACGCUGAGGCGCGAAAGCGUGGGGAGCAAACAGGAUUAGAAACCCUAGUAGUCC
RNAcentral lists this ribosomal RNA (274 nucleotides) under uncultured bacterium. Its description in RNAcentral is "partial 16S ribosomal RNA". It matches the Rfam family "Bacterial small subunit ribosomal RNA", at positions 523 to 796 of the family's 1533-position model. The record is from RNAcentral.